CCUACGGGAGGCUGCAGUGGGGGAUAUUGCACAAUGGGGGAAACCCUGAUGCAGCGACGCCGCGUGGGUGAAGAAGCGCCUCGGCGCGUAAAGCCCUGUCAGCAGGGAAGAAAAUGACGGUACCUGAAGAAGAAGCCCCGGCUAACUACGUGCCAGCAGCCGCGGUAAUACGUCGGGGGCAAACGUUAUCCGGAUGUACUGGGUGUAACGGGGGCGCAGACGGCGAUGCAAGCCAGGAGUGAAAGCCCGGGGCCAAACCCCGGGACUGCUGUUGGUACUGCGUGGCUAGAGUGCAGGUGGGGAAGGCGGAAUUCCUGGUGUAGCGGUGAAAUGCGUAGAUAUCAGGAGGAACACCGGUGGCGAAGGCGGCCUGCUGGACUGCAACUGACGUUGAGGCCCGAAAGCGUGGGGAGCAAACAGGAUUAGAUACCCGGGUAGUC
This 440-nucleotide ribosomal RNA is filed under the name uncultured bacterium. RNAcentral's name for it is "partial 16S ribosomal RNA". It matches the Rfam family "Bacterial small subunit ribosomal RNA", at positions 338 to 795 of the family's 1533-position model. The record is from RNAcentral.